Molecule: long non-coding RNA, 1026 nt
Filed under: Nicotiana benthamiana
Lineage: Eukaryota; Viridiplantae; Streptophyta; Magnoliopsida; Solanales; Solanaceae
Description: long non-coding RNA (NBEN_LNC023877)
Source: RNAcentral
AAUCACACAACACAGAGAAAAUGAGAAAGGGGUUAACCAGUUCAGGCGGUUGACCUAGAUAAAUUAUCAGAAAUGGCUAAUUGCUGCUGUUGUUGUGCUUCGAGAGGAGUGGAAUUGAACGGUUCACCUUCAUUCUGUCGUGUAAGUGUUAAUCCUCAUUCCAAAUGCCAUUUACCUUGUAAUUUCUGAGUAGUCUAAUUACAGCUUUCUGGUUCAAAGUCUCUUUGAAGAUUGAAAUUUGUUGUUAGAGCAGAAUUUGAGUUUUGGUCCCUUUGUUUACAUCUUUAGUCUUUCUGCUACCGGAUUUUCAUAUUUAAUUUAACCUUCAACUCGUUAGUGUUUGUUGAUUAACUCCAAUCUUAAACUGGAAUAGCUAACUUUAGCAAUUAUAUUGACCCACGGAUAUGUUGCUGGUGCAUGAUAUUUGCCAGAGGUUCUGUUGUCUCUAAGGCUCAUUUUUUGAUUGGAAGCAGAAAUUUUGUUACAUACAUAUUCUUUUAACAAAAUUAUUUUAUUUAAAAGAACGCUUAAAGAAUGAAUAUGCCCCUUUAUGCAAGGCAAGCAUGAGAAUGUUACUGAUAAAUAGAAUUCUGGAAUUAGCUAUUCUAGCUGUAUUAGACCAAGUCUGUAAAGUUUGUGAAUCGGAAGUUAAAUGUGUGACGUCGAAUAUUGAGGGACCAAAGGUGCGAAGAGGGUAUGAAGAUGAACCAAAGCUGGCACCUUUCUCUCGUUAUUUUUAUUCAAAACCAUGCCAACUCCACUUUUCUGAAUUAUAGUAUGUUCUAAAAUUUUAAUAGGGAAUAACUAGUAAAUUUGGUGUGCUAUUUUAGGGAGAAGUCUGAAAGUAAAAAAGAAUUUGGGCACCAGCUGAUAUCGUCAAUUUUCAGUCUGGUGAGUGUCCACUGUCUAGAAGCAUUACUCAACAAUGUCUUGUUCAUGCUUCACAGGUUGAUAAACGUGGUUCCUGAACUCAUUCCUGUGUAUGUUGCAUGUUGUGGCAUCAUAUAACAACCUGGAUAUAGUUAC